This 73-nucleotide transfer RNA is filed under the name Acrostichum aureum (coast leather fern). RNAcentral's name for it is "tRNA-Glu". It matches the Rfam family "tRNA". Rfam says of the family: Transfer RNA (tRNA) molecules are approximately 80 nucleotides in length. RNAcentral also lists the same sequence under 12 other names. The record is from RNAcentral. Lineage: Eukaryota; Viridiplantae; Streptophyta; Polypodiopsida; Polypodiales; Pteridaceae.
GCCCCCAUCGUCUAGAGGCCUAGGACACCUCUCUUUCACAGAGGCGACGGGGAUUCGAAUUCCCCUGGGGGUA